CAGAAUAUAGUUUAUUAAAAUAAUAAUUUUGGAGAUUAUAGAUAAAAAUUUUUUUUAUUCUGA
RNAcentral lists this transfer RNA (63 nucleotides) under Tomicus brevipilosus. RNAcentral describes it as "tRNA-Pro". Lineage: Eukaryota; Metazoa; Arthropoda; Insecta; Coleoptera; Curculionidae. The record is from RNAcentral.